This 513-nucleotide ribosomal RNA is filed under the name uncultured soil bacterium. Its description in RNAcentral is "bacterial SSU rRNA". It matches the Rfam family "Bacterial small subunit ribosomal RNA", at positions 33 to 541 of the family's 1533-position model. The record is from RNAcentral.
AGGAUGAACGCUGGCGGCGUGCUUAACACAUGCAAGUCAAGGGGGCCCAGCAAUGGGUAACCGGCGAACGGGUGCGUAACACGUGAGCAACCUACCGAAUUGUGGGGGAUAGCCGGCCCAACGGCCGGGUAAUACCGCAUACGCUCGAGACGAGGCAUUUCGACUCGAGGAAACCUACGGGACAUUUCGAGGGGCUCGCGGCCUAUCAGCUAGUUGGUGAGGUAACGGCUCACCAAGGCGACGACGGUAGCUGGUCUGAGAGGAUGGCCAGCCACAUUGGGACUGAGAUACGGCCCAGACUCCUACGGGAGGCAGCAGUGGGGAAUCUUGCGCAAUGGCCUAACGGCUGACGCAGCGACGCCGCGUGAGGGAUGACGCUCUUCGGAGUGUAAACCUCUUUUGCCUGGACGAAUUGUCAGCUAUUGCUUGACUUGGACGGUACCGGGUGAACGUAAGCCUACCGGCUAACCGUCCGCGCCCAGCCAGCCGACGGUAAUCGUAGAGACCGGGCUA